UUCGUUUCUGAUUUUAUUCCAUUCUUCUGACAGGAUUCAAGUCCUUUUUUUUAUGUUUUGAGUUUUGACCUCAAAGGCACAGCUUGAAGUUUGGAAGUAGAUCCAAUAAUAACUUUCAAGCAAGAAUUGAAUAUUUACUUCAAGAAAAACUUGCAGAUCUUUGUAGAUACGUAGCUGGCUAAGCUCACGACGGCGAAGGGAACAGAGAGGUGUGCUCCAAAGGUGUUGAAGUGUUUAGAUGGGGAGGAACCGUAUUCAAGGAUCCUUGCAUGGAGCAACUUCCAACCAGGUGACUGGAUCUGCAAGAUUCGGCCUGAUCCAGGGGCCGGCCGAGGUGACAGGUGUCGGUGAGUGGUCCAGGCUCAAGCUCCACCUGGGAGGGAGCACAAGCAGGGUGACCAAACCUGAACACAGGAUGUCUACACCUCUCGCUGCCUCAGAAAAGCAGCCAAGAUAAUCAAAGACCCCUCCCACCCCGGACAUUCUCUCUUCUGCCCCUUCCCAUAGGGCAGAAGAUACAAAAGCCUGAAAGCACGUACCACCAGGCUCAAGGACAGCUUCUAUCCCGCUGUUAUAAGACUAUUGAAUGGUCCACUUGUACAAUAAGAUGGACUCCUGAGCUCACAAUCCACCUUGUUAUGGCCUUGCACCUUAUUGUCUGCCUGCACUGCACUUUCUCUGUAACUGUAACACUUUAUUCUGCAUUCUGUUAUUGUUUUCCCUUGUACUACCUCAAUGCACUGUGUAAUGAAAUGUUCUGUAUGGAUGGCAUGCAAAACUAAGUUAUCCACUGUAUCUCGGUACAUGUGACAAUAAUAAACCAAUUUACCA
Molecule: long non-coding RNA, 831 nt
Organism: Pristis pectinata (smalltooth sawfish)
Lineage: Eukaryota; Metazoa; Chordata; Chondrichthyes; Rhinopristiformes; Pristidae
Exons: 3
Source: RefSeq, a predicted model, not a curated record